This 472-nucleotide ribosomal RNA is filed under the name uncultured bacterium. Its description in RNAcentral is "SSU rRNA". It matches the Rfam family "Bacterial small subunit ribosomal RNA", at positions 26 to 518 of the family's 1533-position model. The record is from RNAcentral.
AGGACGAACGCUGGCGGCGUGCUUAACACAUGCAAGUCGAGCGGUAAGGCCUUUCGGGAAGAGGAGUGGCGGACGGGUGAGGAACACGUGGGAACCUGCCCUUUAGUGAGGAAUACCGGCGAGAAAUCGCCGACAAGACCGCAUAGCCCUCUUUGAUGAGAGUCAAAGAAGGAAAGCUUCGCAAGAGGCGCUAGAGGAGGGGCCUGCGUCCGAUUAGCUAGUUGGUGGGGUAAGAGCCUACCAAGGCGUCGAUCGGUAGCUGGUCUGAGAGGACGAUCAGCCACACUGGGAUUGAGAACGGCCCAGACUCCUACGGGGGCAGCAGUGAGGAAUUUUCGGCAAUGGGGGAAACCCUGACCGAGCAACGCCGCGUGCAGGAAGACGGCCUUCGGGUUGUAAACUGCUUUUCUUUGGGACGAGGAAGGACGGUACCAGAGGAAUCAGCCCCGGCUCACUACGUGCCAGCAGCCGC